UGGGGAAUAUUGCACAAUGGGGGAAACCCUGAUGCAGCAACGCCGCGUGAGUGAUGAAGGCCUUCGGGUUGUAAAGCUCUGUCUUUGGGGACGAUAAUGACGGUACCCAAGGAGGAAGCCACGGCUAACUACGUGCCAGCAGCCGCGGUAAUACGUAGGUGGCAAGCGUUGUCCGGAUUUACUGGGCGUAAAGGAUGCGUAGGCGGAUAUUUAAGUGAGAUGUGAAAUACCCGGGCUCAACUUGGGUGCUGCAUUUCAAACGGGAUAUCUAGAGUGCAGGAGAGGAAAGUGGAAUUCCUAGUGUAGCGGUGAAAUGCGUAGAGAUUAGGAAGAACAUCAGUGGCGAAGGCGACUUUCUGGACUGUAACUGACGCUGAGGCAUGAAAGCGUGGGGAGCAAACA
This 402-nucleotide ribosomal RNA is filed under the name uncultured prokaryote. RNAcentral's name for it is "bacterial SSU rRNA". It matches the Rfam family "Bacterial small subunit ribosomal RNA", at positions 355 to 774 of the family's 1533-position model. The record is from RNAcentral.